GAUGAACGCUAGCUACAGGCUUAACACAUGCAAGUCGAGGGGCAGCAUUUCAGUUUGCUUGCCAACUGGAGAUGGCGACCGGCGCACGGGUGAGUAACACGUAUCCAACCUGCCGAUAACUCGGGGAUAGCCUUUCGAAAGAAAGAUUAAUACCCGAUGGCAUAAUUAGACCGCAUGGUCUUAUUAUUAAAGAAUUUCGGUUAUCGAUGGGGAUGCGUUCCAUUAGGCAGUUGGUGAGGUAACGGCUCACCAAACCUUCGAUGGAUAGGGGUUCUGAGAGGAAGGUCCCCCACAUUGGAACUGAGACACGGUCCAAACUCCUACGGGAGGCAGCAGUGAGGAAUAUUGGUCAAUGGGCGCAGGCCUGAACCAGCCAAGUAGCGUGAAGGAUGACUGCCCUAUGGGUUGUAAACUUCUUUUAUAUGGGAAUAAAGUUUUCCACGUGUGGAAUUUUGUAUGUACCAUAUGAAUAAGGAUCGGCUAACUCCGUGCCACCAGCCGCGGUAAUACGGAGGAUCCGAGCGUUAUCCGGAUUUAUUGGGUUUAAAGGGAGCGUAGGUGGACAGUUAAGUCAGUUGUGAAAGUUUGCGGCUCAACCGUAAAAUUGCAGUUGAUACUGGCUGUCUUGAGUACAGUAGAGGUGGGCGGAAUUCGUGGUGUAGCGGUGAAAUGCUUAGAUAUCACGAAGAACUCCGAUUGCGAAGGCAGCUCACUGGACUGCAACUGACACUGAUGCUCGAAGGUGUGGGUAUCAAACAGGAUUAGAUACCCUGGUAGUCCACACAGUAAACGAUGAAUACUCGCUGUUUGCGAUAUACAGUAAGCGGCCAAGCGAAAGCAUUAAGUAUUCCACCUGGGGAGUACGCCGGCAACGGUGAAACUCAAAGGAAUUGACGGGGGCCCGCACAAGCGGAGGAACAUGUGGUUUAAUUCGAUGAUACGCGAGGAACCUUACCCGGGCUUAAAUUGCAUUUGAAUAUAUUGGAAACAGUAUAGCCGUAAGGCAAAUGUGAAGGUGCUGCAUGGUUGUCGUCAGCUCGUGCCGUGAGGUGUCGGCUUAAGUGCCAUAACGAGCGCAACCCUUAUCUUUAGUUACUAACAGGUCAUGCUGAGGACUCUAGAGAGACUGCCGUCGUAAGAUGUGAGGAAGGUGGGGAUGACGUCAAAUCAGCACGGCCCUUACGUCCGGGGCUACACACGUGUUACAAUGGGGGGUACAGAAGGCAGCUACCUGGUGACAGGAUGCUAAUCCCAAAAGCCUCUCUCAGUUCGGAUCGAAGUCUGCAACCCGACUUCGUGAAGCUGGAUUCGCUAGUAAUCGCGCAUCAGCCAUGGCGCGGUGAAUACGUUCCCGGGCCU
This 1359-nucleotide ribosomal RNA is filed under the name uncultured bacterium. RNAcentral describes it as "bacterial SSU rRNA". It matches the Rfam family "Bacterial small subunit ribosomal RNA", at positions 28 to 1381 of the family's 1533-position model. The record is from RNAcentral.